Cinara cedri is the source of this 1113-nucleotide non-coding RNA. Lineage: Eukaryota; Metazoa; Arthropoda; Insecta; Hemiptera; Aphididae. The record is from the annotation of a GenBank genome assembly.
AUCGACAGAUUAUGAGACAUAACUAGUAAUAGUUACCGUAUUAUAGUAGUAUAGUGGAAAAACGCAGAUAAAUAUUUAUCACAAUUCAGCUAUACCCGCAUGACCGAAUGUUUUUUAUAUCCGUACAUAAAUUGUCAUCGGUCGCGAUAGUGUGUUAUCUGGCUGUUAGGCGCUAAGCCGUUAAUAAUAAAAAAUUAGUAGGAGUAAUUGGAGUAAUUGGUUUUACAAUGUUAUUAUUAUUUUUUUUUUAUUCUAGUAUGUGAACACGUUUUUUCUUAAUAAACUUGUUCUAAUUUUUACGUAUAGCACCUUUUCUGAAAGCUCAAAUUGUCUAGGAUUAUACUUUAAAGAAGUCAUUUAUUGGUUUUUUUUAAAUAAAAGCACUUGAGUGAGGGGAAAACGCAGGAAAACAUAAAAUUCCACGAUUUAAUUAUUUUAUAAAAACACGACGUUUUAUACCAGAAAAAAUUAUUUAAUCGAAAAAUCACAAGAGACCUUUUUUGUUGCAUUUUUGAUUUACUUUCUUACGGUUUCAUCGCCAAAACUUUUGAACUUUUAAGGGAUUUUAAUUUUUUUGAUGUAAUUUGGUUAUAAAUCGACGUAGACUUGAAACUUGGUAAUACUUAUAUUAGAGUUACCUAGACGUGGUAAAAUUUUCAAAAUUAUCGGACUUUUUUUUUUUCAUAAGUGUUUUGAAAUCAAAUUUAAACGAAAAUCGUAAAAAAAAUUACGGCACUUCAAAUUAUGUAUUGCUGAACUACGCUCGAAAUUGUCUUUUGUCAAGCAAUGGUUUACCAUUGCUUACAGAUAUAAAUGAAAUAACCUUAUGUAUCCUACCUUCUCAACUUCUAACCUACAACAAACAGUGGCCGCUCCCAACCCCAAUAUCAGCUUUUUUUUUUCUUUUACUUUUUAAUUAUGGGUACCCUACAUUAAACCAGCACACAUAUCAGGCUAAUUAUUUUUAAAAAUAGGAAUAUGGAUAGGUACAUAUUAUAAAAUAAAUUUAUUGAAACAUUUUUGAUUAAAACAAUUAAUUUAUAUACAUAUGAAAUAUGGCCAGGAAAUUAAUUCAGAGCCUUAUUUUCAACAUUUUUCGGAGAGGGAUACUGA